GGCCGGGUGUCUGCGACCAUAAAAUACCCUUCGGGGGAAAGCCGCAGGCCGUCCGAUAGCGGUGUUCAAGCACCCGGUCUCGUCCCU
This 87-nucleotide non-coding RNA is filed under the name Rhodomicrobium vannielii ATCC 17100. RNAcentral describes it as "sRNA-Xcc1". It matches the Rfam family "sRNA-Xcc1". The record is from Rfam by way of RNAcentral. Lineage: Bacteria; Pseudomonadati; Pseudomonadota; Alphaproteobacteria; Hyphomicrobiales; Hyphomicrobiaceae.